Vicia villosa (hairy vetch) is the source of this 4494-nucleotide long non-coding RNA. RefSeq lists it as uncharacterized. The record is from RefSeq and is a predicted model, not a curated record. NCBI's taxonomy places the organism in Eukaryota, Viridiplantae, Streptophyta, Magnoliopsida, Fabales, Fabaceae. The transcript is spliced from 8 exons.
UGGAUAAAGAAAAAAGUUUACAUUUUUAGCAAGUUAGAGUUAAGAAUUCACACAUUUUGAAAAUAUCCUGAUUCAGUGAAGUCUUCAAACGUGAGAAAGAUGAAUAACAUGAAUAUUUUAGUUUUGGUUGCACUUCGUUUGUCUUCAACUCUUGGAAAUCUAGGUUGUCUAUUUGUCAAACACAGUGAAAGUGACGAGAGAGCAAAGGCUUCUGUUUAGAAUCUACAAUAUAAGAAAGUUUUAUGAUCUGGAAAGUACUUAUUUGCCCCCUUUGCUUUCUGCUUCAUCCACGUGGAUGCCUUGGUUGUAAUUCUAUGUUCUGCUCACUUCACGUUUCCUUUUCUCACUUCUACUUUAUGUGCCUAGGGUUGCUUCUAUUUUGAAAAAUUGUUCUCUCUCUUACUCUUCCUCUUCCUCUUUCUUUUGUCUCUAUUUCUCUGAUAUCGUUCUUCUUUUGAUUUAUGUGCAGAUGAAUAUGAUGUUGAUGGUGACGAUGAACACGUUUGCUGAUGAUAUCGUGAUGUUGAUUUUUAACCGUUGAUGGUUGUUGCUAAGGGUUACGGUCGAGAAAUUGAUGAUGAUGUUGGUGACGCUCAAAGUCACAGCAAAUCGGUGAGAUCUUUCUUUGUUUUUCGUGUUUUGAGUUCUCUAAUUUCUCUUCUUCUCUCAAUAUUUUCUGAAGGGUUUGUGUAAAAAAUGAGGAAGAUGAUGAUAAAAUAGGGUUUCAUGAACGUUAGUGUUGUAUCCCAUUUACUGAAUAUGAACUGAGUUCUUUUUCUUUCUUCUCAUAGUUUUUGGAAAAUUUGUAUACAUGAUGAUGAUGAUGGAAUUUUAGGGUUUUGGUUUUGUAUUCUGCUACAGUGAAAAUUGUGAAUCAGAUUCUCUUUACUGUGAACCAAAGUUUAUUUGUGAUUUGUAGUAAAGAUUAGACCCAUGAUUUGAAUUAUUCCCCUUAAAAAUUCUGAUUCCUUCACAUAAACUCUAAUGAUGAAUUAUGAAUCUUCUAUUGUUGUUGUUUGGAACUUAAUUGAAUUUCAUGUUUGUGUUUGUUUUGCAGAGUGACUGUGGAUAAUUCUUCAAGUAGAACAACCACUUUGAUAAAGGCACCUAUGGUCAAAGAACCCCUAUCUUCCUCCCAUACAUCCCCCUAACGGCACUGAGAAAUUCACUAUCAACGUUUACUCACCUAGUAGAUGUUAUUUGAAGCUUUCUUAUGGUUUCUUUAUAUUUGCUGCUUAGAAAUGGAACACUCACUGGAUUCGCCUUAUUCAAAAGUGGCCCUUCAAAGUCUUCAAAGCGAAAGAUGUGAAGCGUGUCGAUAGAGCAUACGCGCGCUCCACCUUUGUUGUGGCAGUCCCUAAAUCAUAUGUUUCAAUUGCGAUUUACUCAGGGGUAGUUCCACAACAGUUUCAUGUGUUUGUCUAGGUUCUUCGGUGCGUCUUUUUGGACAUGUAUGCUUUGAAUAUUUAUUAAGUUUGGUUUGUCCCUUUAGUUUUGAAAAAUUUUAUAUCAACAGACAAUACCCUUCACUGCAGAACUGCGGCAGUUUGACAUAGCAGAUCAAAGAAAGUUAUUAUUUUUUGUGGCUUCAUUGAAAUUGAUAAUAUAUUUUGGGUUUGAUUUACAUGUUUUAUAUUUAUUAGUGUAUGAGGAAUGUGGUGGAUGUAAUUGGUUUUGCACUAUGACUAUCAAUGGAUGGAAAAUGAUGAUUCCCCUUGCCUUCUUUGUCGGUACCGGGUAGGCUAUUUUUACUACUUUUUGAAACAUAAACUACAGCUUUUUAUUGGUCAAUUAAAGUUGAGCUCGAUCAGCUGGUCACCUAAUUAUAAGGGUGCGGGUGACGAACGAAAUUGGAGCGGGAAAAGGAAAAUCAGCAAAAUUUGCAAUGCAAGUAUCUGUGAUACAAUCAACAGUGGUUGGAUUAGUCUUCUGGGUUCUAAUAAUGAUAUUCCAAAGACAGAUUGUAUACAUUUUCACCUUAAGCCCUUAUGUUCUUCAAGUUGUUAACGAUAUGUCAAUCCUCUCGGCAAUCACCAUUCUUCUCAAUAGUGUUCACAAUGUUCUAUUAGGUAAAAAGGACCCAUUCUUCAAAUAUGUGAAUCCUCUUGACAGUUUGCAUACACUUUCUCAUUCAUCCUGGGCAUUUUUUUACUUACAUGCUGGUCAUAAUUGUUUUGGGUCUGAUUACUAUUUUAUUUAAGAAAAUAUGUGUGAAAAAAUGCUUUAUCUGUGUGCACGUAUCUAUGAACCAAAAGGAAUCAAUGUUCCCAAACCUAUCCAAACUGUUUGUACUAGAUGGGGUAGUGAUCCCUUCUUCUUUGGUUCUUACUCUAAUGUUGCAGUUGGAGCUUCUGGUGGAGAUUAUGAUGUUUUAGUUGAAAGUGUGGGAGAUGGUAGACUUUUCUUUGUUGGAGAAGCAACCAAUAGGCGUUAUCCUGCUACUAUGCAUGGGGCUUUUCUAAGUGGUCUACGAGAAGCAAGAAAUAUGGCCCACCAUGCUAAUAAUUGAUCAAUGAAUGUGAAGGUUGAAAAGUCUCCUUCAAAUGCUCAUACCUGUGCUUCCCUUCUUGCAGAUUUAUUUAAAUGAGAUUGAAUCACCUUUGCGAAAAGCUAGGAGUGAAGCUGGUGGGAACAAAAGGAUUGGGGCUGAAUGCUGAUUCUUUCAUUGCUUCUAUUAAAGCCGAGAGGGGAAAUCGUGAACCUGUUUUAACUUCUAUGUCUCUUAAACUAGAGAACAUAUGCAAGGCUGCUUUGGGAUUCAGGUUGGAAACCUCCCUGAUGCACAGAUUUUGGGAUUCAACAAUGGCCUUAUCUCCAAAUGACGAUGAUGGCGAAACUUGGAGUGUGAACUCCUUCAAAUAGGUUCUGAUGGAGGAGAAAUAGGGAAAUCGGCUCCUUAUUCGUCUGCAAGCAUGCCCUAUACUUUUCCUUCAAAGUACAAGAUAAGAAGGGCAGAAUGCAUAGAUUUACAUGUGGUAUGCAAACUAUCACAUGUUAUCUGUUAAAUCAUUGUCUAUAUUUCAUCUAUUUGUUUGUACUGCAACAUGUUAUAAAUAAUGGUAUUUGUUAAAACAAAAGCACAUGAGUAAGGGUUUUAGUAUAUGGUUUUUGAUGGGUCUCGGGUCUAACCGCAAUGUCAUAUGCGUAUCCUAUUCACAUGAAACCGAUACAUGGACUCCAAUAAGUAAUGGGCUGGUCAACGGAUGGCGUAAUCUGAGUAUCUCACUGAUUGGACAACUCUAUGCAGUUGAUUUCCAGGACGGCUGCCAGCUCUAAGUGUCUGAUCUCUGGCAUGUUAAUGUUGUACAUGUUUUUCACAUUUCAGUCGAGUUGCCCGAGAUAUGUUUGAUUCGUGUCAUGCAGCUGGCAAGUUAGAGAACAACAAAAUAAGUUGGAGAGGGGAUUCGGCUCUUAAGGAUGGAAAGCAAGUAAAAAUAGAUCUUUCCAAAUGAAUGUUUGAUGUUGGAGAUAAUAUGAAGUUUGGUUUUCCAAUGGCUUUUACUGCAUUUGUACUAUCAUGGGAGAUUCUGGAAUAUGGAGAGCAAAUAGAUGUCGUUGGACAGUUGGAACCAGUUCUAGAUUUGCUAAAAUGGAUACCUGAUUAUCUCAUCGCUUAAAUGGAUGCUGUUUGCUUUUAUGAAAAAUUUCAAUACCCAAAUUCUAGUUUAUUCUAUUUGGAAAUUUACUUAUAUUUCUCAUGUUCUGUAGUUGGAUUUGUGCAGCUGUGGGAUGAUUAUCAAGGUAAAACUCAUUGAGUUGGACGUGCCUCUGAUAUCUAUAUCUCUUAAUUUGUGUUUAUUAUUCUUCCCAUCCAUACAUUCUCCAUGAUUUUCAGUUCAAUUUACUCUUUGGUUUGAAGGCUAAUUUGAAUAACCUUUUAUUGUGAAUUUACUCUUUGAUUUAAAGGCUAAUUUGAUUAAUCUUUCAUUGUGAACCCGCUCUUGAUUUGAAGGCUAAUUGAUUAAAAGAAAGAUGUUGCUUCUGCAGCUACUGCUACUAACAACAUUAGAGGAGGCCAAUGCUACUGAAUCCAUAAUAAGAAAUUUAAGGAUCUAUUUACAAUUGGAUUUGGUUGGAUAAUUUUUGGCGGGCUACCAUUUGAUUUUGAGAGUACUCUUGUACUACUGUCUGUUUCUGUCUUUAAGGGUGAAGAGAACUGAUGUAAUGGGGACGUCAUGAUUUAGGCGUGUGCGUUUCGUCGGCAUUGGAGCUUCGCAUGGAGGACGAAGAUUGUGUCCGCAAUGGUGUCAAGAGCUAUUUCGGCUAAUGCAGAGGAAAAAAAAGGUCUCCACUGCAACAGUCUUGGCUCCAUGGGCGGAUGCACCUUGUGGCAUUAUGUGGCUAAAGCCACACCAUAAUUUUACCAUUAUUUUAUCAAUGUUCUAUGUUGUAACCAAACAUGUAUGCAUUAUUGCCUACAAAUCUUUCCACUUAAUAUAAGAUCUAUUUUGUUAGCAAUCACUAAUCGAUCCAAAUAAGAAGACCAAGGACUGA